AGUGAACGCUGGCGGUAGGCCUAACACAUGCAAGUCGAACGGCAGCACAGAGGAGCUUGCUCCUUGGGUGGCGAGUGGCGGACGGGUGAGGAAUACAUCGGAAUCUACUCUGUCGUGGGGGAUAACGUAGGGAAACUUACGCUAAUACCGCAUACGACCUACGGGUGAAAGCAGGGGAUCUUCGGACCUUGCGCGAUUGAAUGAGCCGAUGUCGGAUUAGCUAGUUGGCGGGGUAAAGGCCCACCAAGGCGACGAUCCGUAGCUGGUCUGAGAAGAUGAUCGGCCACACUGGAACUGGGACACGGUCCAGACUCCUACGGGAGGCAGCAGUGGGGAAUAUUGGACAAUGGGCGCAAGCCUGAUCCAGCCAUACCGCGUGGGUGAAGAAGGCCUUCGGGUUGUAAAGCCCUUUUGUUGGGAAAGAAAUCCAUCUGGUUAAUACCCGGGUGGGAUGACGGUACCCAAAGAAUAAGCACCGGCUAACUUCGUGCCAGCAGCCGCCGUAA
This 506-nucleotide ribosomal RNA is filed under the name uncultured bacterium. RNAcentral's name for it is "partial 16S ribosomal RNA". It matches the Rfam family "Bacterial small subunit ribosomal RNA", at positions 29 to 523 of the family's 1533-position model. The record is from RNAcentral.